UUCAGAAGUCUUUAUUAUGAUAAGGUUACAGAGACUUGUGCGUGCAUUGAAACAAAGAUCCAUUUCAUCAGUGCUGAACUGCAGAAAGCAAGCGCAUGGCCUGGGAGGCAGGGACCGUUGUCCUCGAUGUGUCCCCACCAGCCCCUCCUGCACAGGCUGUUGAGUCCCAUGACGCAGCCAGCAGCCCCACAGAGCCUGCAUGUCCCCCCCUGGCACAGAGCAUGGGAAGAACUGGGAUGGAGAAGGAGGGAGCAUGCAUCCAGCUGAGAGCUGUUCUUGGAGAAGCUGGGGAGCCCUGGCCAGCACCAACAUUGCAAAUUAAUCUCUGACCACAGAGGUGAUGACCUUGUUUCUGAGAGCUUUCUUGCAAGCGGAGGCUCCACUAUGCUUUGCUGCAGGGCCAGAGAAAUCAACUGCAGCCUGUGCAGAGGAGAGCUCACUGUGCCGAGGAGAGUGAAGGGUACUCAGAGCCUGCAGUGGGGACUGGUUGUUUUCUGCAAGAGCUGAUCAUGCUGUAGGCACCCAUCCUCUUCGGAGAAGUACUGAUAGUUUUGCUCACACCUGACACUUGGGUGACCAUGAGGGAGCUUGUGGAAGUCAUCAGUCCCAGAGAGACCAGACUGCUCCUGCACCCCGCAAAAAUCUAUCGAAUCCUCCUGCAAAGAACCUUUCCAAAAAUAGAACCUUCCCAAACACUCAGUGUUUGAACCCAAACCACUGACACUCAUCCCACUCUGCUGCAGCACAUCUCAGGGCUUCCUGUGGCAAAACAGGAGACACCAACAUCUGGAAUAUCAGCAGCCCAGCAAAGCUGAUAGUGAAUAAAUACUUGCAAGAUAAGAAUGUGUGGUGUUAAAAGAUGCUUUAACCCAGAAGAGCAAAACUGUACAGGAGCCAGUGGCUGGAAACUAAAGCCAGAAGCUACCAAAUUAGAAAUAAGGCACAGAUAAUUAUCAGUGAGGCAGAUCAACUGCAUUAACAAGUGAUACCAUAUUAUUACUGGCAUAUUUGGAAAUUUCCCCCACUAUCACUAAUGAUCUUCACGUAUGCAUUGGUUAGCUCAACGAUACGCAUUUGAACUGAAUACAGCCGGGUCAGGUGCAGCACAGAAGCAAAGAAAUUAAUGUUCAUUAAACUUGAACUCUUUGACCAAGAAUUUUGAAUAGCCUCCAUGGACAAAGUCCCGCAAUAGCAGGAGAAGUGGGGAGAAAAAAAUCAUGUGCUUUUCUCUGAAGGUUCAAGUACAGCCAUUGAUGUGCAAGGAUAUAUCGAUACUUGGGUAUUCAGGGUAUAUCAUCCCUAAUAGGAUGCCUUCAGUCAACCAAUUCCUGGAGCCUCAGCCUGCUCAAGUGAUUUUUAAAUAGCAUGUCUGGUGCCACCUUAGAAAUUCUAGUUUUGGAGAGAUUGUCUCAUAAAUGUGGUACAAAACCUCAUAAGGAUUAAAAAUAAUGUAACAUAUUUUUGAUUUAUCUUAGUUUGGGGCCUUUAGGUUGCACUCAAGUCACAUUUACAGCUUUAAAAAAACCAAACCCAAACCAGAAGGUAAGAGAAGAAAGGCAGGAGAGAGUAAGCAAAGAUACAAACUGAUCACCUGACUUCAGACUCGAGAGCUAGCAAUAUUAAUACUGUGGAACUUGCCAUAAAGAUAGGGAACAUUGCUAAAACUCUCCUUCCAGGUUCUGUAUUGACCUUUUCCUUUGGCAUCAACCCUCAGCAGGGACCAGGAGAGCAGGCUGGCACAGGAGUUCUCUCCACACCAACUUCCACAUAAUGUUUCUGCAUCAGUUUCUGACAUGUCCCAGUGUAUCUGCUAAGUCCAGCAUCAUGGACACAAUUAAGCAGCUGGCAGAUCCCCGAGGAGGUCUCAGGAGAGGAGCUGCCAUUCUUCAGGUUUCCACACUGUUCAUGGUGAGGAAGGAUGCACCAGCUCAUGCGGGGAGCUUCUCCAGGUCACCUG
Molecule: long non-coding RNA, 1957 nt
Filed under: Strigops habroptila (Kakapo)
Lineage: Eukaryota; Metazoa; Chordata; Aves; Psittaciformes; Psittacidae
Description: lncRNA (ENSSHBG00005020716.1)
Source: RNAcentral